UACGUAGGCAGCAAGCGUUGUUCGGAGUUACUGGGCGUAAAGAGUGCGUAGGCGGUCCUGUAAGUUUGGUGUGAAAUCUCCCGGCUCAACUGGGAGGGUGCGCCGAAUACUGAAUGACUUGGAGUGCGGGAGAGGAAAGUGGAAUUCCAGGUGUAGCGGUGAAAUGCGUAGAUAUCUGGAGGAACACCGGUGGCGAAGGCGGCAUCCUGGACCAAUACUGACACUGAGGAGCGAAAGCCAGGGGAGCAAACGGG
This 254-nucleotide ribosomal RNA is filed under the name uncultured bacterium. RNAcentral's name for it is "partial 16S ribosomal RNA". It matches the Rfam family "Bacterial small subunit ribosomal RNA", at positions 524 to 776 of the family's 1533-position model. The record is from RNAcentral.